CAAAUUGAUGCACAUACCACAUUACACAUUUUCAGGUGUAAUGUGGUAUGUGCAUCAAUUUG
This 62-nucleotide microRNA precursor is filed under the name Pelobates cultripes (western spadefoot toad). The record is from RNAcentral. Lineage: Eukaryota; Metazoa; Chordata; Amphibia; Anura; Pelobatidae.